This 64-nucleotide transfer RNA is filed under the name Cucujoidea sp. 6 KM-2017. RNAcentral's name for it is "tRNA-Tyr". Lineage: Eukaryota; Metazoa; Arthropoda; Insecta; Coleoptera. The record is from RNAcentral.
AAUGAAGUGACUGAAUUAAAGUGGUAAAUUGUAAAUUUAUUUAUGGGCUUGUGCCCCUUCAUUA